GCCGGCGAUAGGGCAAUCUGGUUGCCCCGCCAGGCUGAGCACCUGGUGCCAGUAAUGGCUUGCGGGUUCAAAUCCCGCCGCCGGCG
RNAcentral lists this transfer RNA (86 nucleotides) under Candidatus Woesearchaeota archaeon. RNAcentral's name for it is "tRNA-Leu". It matches the Rfam family "tRNA". Rfam says of the family: Transfer RNA (tRNA) molecules are approximately 80 nucleotides in length. Their secondary structure includes four short double-helical elements and three loops (D, anti-codon, and T loops). Lineage: Archaea; Nanobdellati; Candidatus Woesearchaeota. The record is from RNAcentral.